This is a non-coding RNA of Cyanistes caeruleus (blue tit), 676 nucleotides long. Lineage: Eukaryota; Metazoa; Chordata; Aves; Passeriformes; Paridae. The record is from RefSeq and is a predicted model, not a curated record.
UUCUUUGGGACGGGCUCAGAACAUUUUUCUCCCCCCUCUCUCCGAAUUAAAACUCUUGGAGGAUGGGGGGAAAAGAUCGGCCAAGAGCGGGAUUUACUUGGGGGAGGUUUAAAUUGAAUUAAACCCGAGUUUUUUCCUCCUUUUCCAGCCCGGAAUCCCAAUCCCUGCUCGGAGGAAAAUCCCUCCACCCAUCCCAUCCAGAUUCCCAGAUGGAAAUAUGUGGCGAAAUUGUUGCGGCCACCUAAAAAAAAAAUCCUUUUAUUGGGUGAAAUUCUCGGUCUGGGGAUGUUGCAGAUGAUGAAUUUAGAGUUACGGGAGAUGUCGGAGGUGAUGAAAUGAAAGAUCCGCGCACCCGCCGCUCAUCCCUGCGGGGUUUUGUGUCUCCAGAACCCGCCUUGGCAUUUCUCACUCCCAAAAAUCCCGGCCCAGGAGCCGCUGGGGGACCGAAUAUUCAAUAUCCGCACAGCCAAAUCCCAUAUUUUCCCUAGGAAAAAAAAAUCACAGGAGUGCCUGGCCGGCCCCAUCCCUAUAAAAACUGCCACGGGGACCUUUAAUAAACUGAUUUUAUCUGCCGGAAUCAUUAAAGCCGAGCGCUGCUCGCAGCCCUUUUGUGCUGUUUAAACCUUUACACCGAGCUGGAGAUCACAGCUCCUAAAAUAAAACUCCCUAAAAUUCC